RNAcentral lists this ribosomal RNA (496 nucleotides) under uncultured bacterium. RNAcentral's name for it is "partial 16S ribosomal RNA". It matches the Rfam family "Bacterial small subunit ribosomal RNA", at positions 29 to 507 of the family's 1533-position model. The record is from RNAcentral.
AUGAACGCUGGCGGCGUGCCUAAUACAUGCCAGUCGAGCGAACAGAUGAGGAGCUUGCUCCUCUGACGUUAGCGGCGGACGGGUGAGUAACACGUGGAUAACCUACCUAUAAGACUGGGAUAACUUCGGGAAACCGGAGCUAAUACCGGAUAAUAUAUUGAACCGCAUGGUUCAAUAGUGAAAGACGGUUUUGCUGUCACUUAUAGAUGGAUCCGCGCCGCAUUAGCUAGUUGGUAAGGUAACGGCUUACCAAGGCAACGAUGCGUAGCCGACCUGAGAGGGUGAUCGGCCACACUGGAACUGAGACACGGUCCAGACUCCUACGGGAGGCAGCAGUAGGGAAUCCUCCGCAAUGGGCGAAAGCCUGACGGAGCAACGCCGCGUGAGUGAUGAAGGUCUUCGGAUCGUAAAACUCUGUUAUUAGGGAAGAACAAAUGUGUAAGUAACUAUGCACGUCUUGACGGUACCUAAUCAGAAAGCCACGGCUAACUACGUG